AUUGAACGCUGGCGGCAGGCCUAACACAUGCAAGUCGAGCGGAUGAAGGGAGCUUGCUCCUGGAUUCAGCGGCGGACGGGUGAGUAAUGCCUAGGAAUCUGCCUGGUAGUGGGGGAUAACGUCCGGAAACGGGCGCUAAUACCGCAUACGUCCUGAGGGAGAAAGUGGGGGAUCUUCGGACCUCACGCUAUCAGAUGAGCCUAGGUCGGAUUAGCUAGUUGGUGGGGUAAAGGCCUACCAAGGCGACGAUCCGUAACUGGUCUGAGAGGAUGAUCAGUCACACUGGAACUGGGACACGGUCCAGACUCCUACGGUAGGCAGCAGUGGGGAAUAUUGGACAAUGGGCGAAAGCCUGAUCCAGCCAUGCCGCGUGUGUGAAGAAGGUCUUCGGAUUGUAAAGCACUUUAAGUUGGGAGGAAGGGCAGUAAGUUAAUACCUUGCUGUUUUGACGUUACCAACAGAAUAAGCACCGGCUAACUUCGUG
Molecule: ribosomal RNA, 484 nt
Filed under: uncultured bacterium
Lineage: Bacteria
Description: partial 16S ribosomal RNA
Rfam family: Bacterial small subunit ribosomal RNA
Source: RNAcentral